RNAcentral lists this ribosomal RNA (375 nucleotides) under Ixodes ricinus (castor bean tick). Its description in RNAcentral is "partial large subunit ribosomal RNA". The record is from RNAcentral. Lineage: Eukaryota; Metazoa; Arthropoda; Arachnida; Ixodida; Ixodidae.
GGUAUUUUGACUAUACGAAGGUAUUGAAAUAAGAUUUUAAAUGAGUGCUAAGAGAAUGAUUAAACAAUUAAAAGCUUUCUUUAAUUAAAUAAUUGAAUUUAAUUUUUUUAGUGCAAAAGCAAAAAUAAAAAUUAGGGACAAGAAGACCCUAUGAAUUUUUUAUUAAAUUUUAUAAAACUUUAUAUAAAAUUUAAUUUAAUUGGGGUGAUGGAAAAAGAAUAAAUAUCUUUUUUUUAAAGAAAAUUGGUUCCGUUUUUAGCGAUUAAAUGAAAAAAAUACUCUAGGGAUAACAGCGUAAUAAUUUUGGAUAGUUCAUAUAGAUAAAAUAGUUUGCGACCUCGAUGUUGGAUUAGGAUUCUUUUUUGGUGAAGAAGU